ACUCCUACGGGAGGCAGCAGUGGGGAAUAUUGCACAAUGGGCGCAAGCCUGAUGCAGCCAUGCCGCGUGUGUGAAGAAGGCCUUCGGGUUGUAAAGCACUUUCAGUCGUGAGGAAGGUAGUGUAGUUAAUAGCUGCAUUAUUUGUACGUUAGCGACAGAAGAAGCACCGGCUAACUCCGUGCCAGCAGCCGCGGUAAUACGGAGGGUGCGAGCGUUAAUCGGAAUUACUGGGCGUAAAGCGCAUGCAGGUGGUUUGUUAAGUCAGAUGUGAAAGCCCGGGGCUCAACCUCGGAAUAGCAUUUGAAACUGGCAGACUAGAGUACUGUAGAGGGGGUAGAAUUUCAGGUGUAGCGGUGAAAUGCGUAGAGAUCUGAAGGAUACCGGUGGCGAAGGCGGCCCCUGGACAGAUACUGACACUCAGAUGCGAAAGCGUGGGAGCAAACAGGAUUAGAUA
RNAcentral lists this ribosomal RNA (454 nucleotides) under uncultured bacterium. RNAcentral describes it as "bacterial SSU rRNA". It matches the Rfam family "Bacterial small subunit ribosomal RNA", at positions 335 to 784 of the family's 1533-position model. The record is from RNAcentral.